This 83-nucleotide transfer RNA is filed under the name Haliscomenobacter sp. RNAcentral describes it as "tRNA-Leu". It matches the Rfam family "tRNA". From Rfam's summary of the family: Transfer RNA (tRNA) molecules are approximately 80 nucleotides in length. Their secondary structure includes four short double-helical elements and three loops (D, anti-codon, and T loops). Lineage: Bacteria; Pseudomonadati; Bacteroidota; Saprospiria; Saprospirales; Haliscomenobacteraceae. The record is from RNAcentral.
GCCGAAGUGGCGGAACUGGUAGACGCGCUGGUCUCAAAAUCCAGUGGAUUUUAUCCGUGCGGGUUCGAGUCCCGCCUUCGGUA